ACGCUGUGCGGCGUGCCUAAUACAUGCAAGUCGAGCGAACAGAAAAGGAGCCUGCUUCUUUGACGUUAGCGGCGGACGGGUGAGAAACAAGUGGGCAACCUACCCUAUAGUUUGGGAUAACUCCGGGAAACCGGGGCUAAUACCGAAUAAUCUCUUUUGCUUCAUGGUGAAAGACUGAAAGACGGUUUCGGCUGUCGCUAUAGGAUGGGCCCGCGGCGCAUUAGCUAGUUGGUGAGGUAACGGCUCACCAAGGCGACGAUGCGUAGCCGACCUGAGAGGGUGAUCGGCCACACUGGGACUGAGACACGGCCCAGACUCCUACGGGAGGCAGCAGUAGGGAAUCUUCCACAAUGGGCGAAAGCCUGAUGGAGCAACGCCGCGUGAGUGAAGAAGGUUUUCGGAUCGUAAAACUCUGUUGUAAGGGAAGAACAAGUACAGUAGUAACUGGCUGUACCUUGACGGUACCUUAUUAGAAAGCCACGGCUAACUACGUGCCAGCAGCCGCGGUAAUACGUAGGUGGCAAGCGUUGUCCGGAAUUAUUGGGCGUAAAGCGCGCGCAGGCGGUCCUUUAAGUCUGAUGUGAAAGCCCACGGCUCAACCGUGGAGGGUCAUUGGAAACUGGGGGACUUGAGUGCAGAAGAGGAAAGUGGAAUUCCAAGUGUAGCGGUGAAAUGCGUAGAGAUUUGGAGGAACACCAGUGGCGAAGGCGA
This 711-nucleotide ribosomal RNA is filed under the name Lysinibacillus sp. 3Y1. RNAcentral describes it as "bacterial SSU rRNA". It matches the Rfam family "Bacterial small subunit ribosomal RNA", at positions 33 to 724 of the family's 1533-position model. Lineage: Bacteria; Bacillati; Bacillota; Bacilli; Caryophanales; Bacillaceae. The record is from RNAcentral.